RNAcentral lists this ribosomal RNA (160 nucleotides) under uncultured Gammaproteobacteria bacterium. Its description in RNAcentral is "partial 16S ribosomal RNA". The record is from RNAcentral. Lineage: Bacteria; Pseudomonadati; Pseudomonadota; Gammaproteobacteria.
CACGGAGUCAGCCGGUGCUUCUUCUGCGGGUAGCGUCAAUGAGCAAAGGUAUUAACUUUACUCCCUUCCUCCCCGCUGAAAGUACUUUACAACCUGAAGGCCUUCUUCAUACACGCGGCAUGGCUGCAUCAGGCUUGCGCCCAUUGUGCAAGAUUCCCUA